Molecule: non-coding RNA, 86 nt
Organism: Trichonephila clavipes
Lineage: Eukaryota; Metazoa; Arthropoda; Arachnida; Araneae; Nephilidae
Source: the annotation of a GenBank genome assembly
GUCAGGAUGGCCGAGCGGUCUAAGGCGCUGCGUUCAGGUCGUAGUCCACUUGGCGUGGGCGUUGGUUCAAAUCCCACUUCUGAACA